CCUACGAGUGGCAGCAGUGAGGAAUAUUGGUCAAUGGCCGGAAGGCUGAACCAGCCAAGCCGCGUGAAGGACGAAGGUGCCAAGCAUUGUAAACUUCUUUUGUCAGGGGACAAAAUCAGGCUCGAGAGCCUGACCGAGGGUACUUGAAGAAAAAGCAUCGGCUAACUCCGUGCCAGCAGCCGCGGUAAUACGGAGGAUGCGCGCGUUAUCCGGAUUUAUUGGGAUUACAGGGUGCGUAGGCGGCCUGUUAAGUCAGCGGUAAAAGCCCGGGGCUAAACCCCGGCGCGCCGUUGACACUGGCAGUCUUGAGUUGGCGAGAGGUAUGCGGAAGGCGGAGUGUAGCGGUGAAA
Molecule: ribosomal RNA, 350 nt
Filed under: uncultured bacterium
Lineage: Bacteria
Description: partial 16S ribosomal RNA
Rfam family: Bacterial small subunit ribosomal RNA
Source: RNAcentral